UACGGAGGGUGCAAGCGUUAUCCGGAUUCACUGGGUUUAAAGGGUGCGUAGGUGGAUCUGUAAGUCAGUGGUGAAAUCUCCGGGCUUAACCCGGAAACUGCCAUUGAUACUAUUUGUCUUGAAUACUGUGGAGGUCAGCGGAAUAUGUCAUGUAGCGGUGAAAUGCUUAGAUAUGACAUAGAACACCAAUUGCGAAGGCAGCUGGCUACACAAAUAUUGACACUGAGGCACGAAAGCGUGGGGAUCAAACAGG
Molecule: ribosomal RNA, 253 nt
Filed under: uncultured bacterium
Lineage: Bacteria
Description: partial 16S ribosomal RNA
Rfam family: Bacterial small subunit ribosomal RNA
Source: RNAcentral